GGAUAACCGUGGUAAUUCUAGAGCUAAGACAUGCUAAAAAUCCCGACUCUGGAAGGGAUGUAUUUAUUAGAUUAAAAGCCAACGCCCCCUCACGGGGGGCUGCGUGGUGAUUCAUGAAAACUGAUCGAAUCGCACGGCCCUGCGCCGGCGAUGGUUCAUUCAAAUUUCUUCCCUAUCAACUUUCGAUGUUUGGGUAGGGGCCAAACAUGGUGGCAACGGGUAACGGAGGGUUAGGGCUCGACCCCGGAGAAGGAGCCUGAGAGACGGCUACUACAUCCAAGGAAGGCAGCAGGCGCGCAAAUUACCCAAUCCCGACACGGGGAGGUAGUGACAAUAAAUACCGAUACAGGGCUCUUUUGGGUCUUGUAAUUGGAAUGAGUACAACUUAAAUCCCUUAACGAGGAACAAUUGGAGGGCAAGUCUGGUGCCAGCAGCCGCGGUAAUUCCAGCUCCAAUAGCGUAUAUUAAAGUUGUUGUGGUUAAAAAGCUCGUAGUUGAACCUUGGGCCUGGCUGGCCGGUCCGCCUCACCGCGUGUCACUGGUCCGGCCGGGCCUUUCCCUCUGUGGAACCCCAUGCACUUCACUGGGCGUGGCGGGGAAACAGGACGUUUACUUUGAAAAAAUUAGAGUGCUCCAGGCAGGCCUAUGCUCGUAUACAUUAGCAUGGAAUAAUGAAAUAGGACGUGUGGUUCUAUUUUGUUGGUUUCUAGGACCGCCGUAAUGAUUAAUAGGGACAGUCGGGGGCAUCAGUAUUCAGUUGUCAGAGGUGAAAUUCUUGGAUCUACUGAAGACUAACUACUGCAAAAGCAUUUGCCAAGGAUGUUUUCAUUAAUCAGGAACGAAAGUUAGGGGAUCGAAGACUAUGAGAUACCGUCGU
Molecule: ribosomal RNA, 877 nt
Filed under: Hypocrella discoidea
Lineage: Eukaryota; Fungi; Ascomycota; Sordariomycetes; Hypocreales; Clavicipitaceae
Description: SSU rRNA
Rfam family: Eukaryotic small subunit ribosomal RNA
Source: RNAcentral